CGCAGGUCCAAGGGGAGACCAAGGGUCCGGACUCGGAGUUGCUGCUGCGAGUCUCACCUUCGACCCGGAGGAGCCCGGCCGGCGGCAAAGGGUGAGGACCUGGGGGGGUCUCCUCAGACGCUGGAAUCUGAGGCCCAGGCUCCUCUUCUGGGGCGGAAGGACGAGAUUUCCUGGAGUCGAGGUUCCGGUCUUACCCUAACAGCGGCUUUCGUGUCCAGUGGAGAUUCAGGGGCGAGAAAUUCUGAACAAAAUCAGAAUAAACUGGAAAAAGGCCAAUUAAAAUUCUUAAUAAAAUAGUACCGGAAUACAACACUGCUUGGAAUUCAGGUCUUGAACCGUUAACACGAAAGCUCAGAGGCAGUCACCCUGGCUGCUCAGGGACAUCAGAGCCCUUCAAGACUCGGGUGCUGCCACGUCCGUGUGGCCCUCGCGGUUCCGGGGCAGCGCGUGGGUCCGACGCAGAACAGGAGUGAGUAAAAACUGCUGAGCGCCGCCCCAAAGACGAGGUUCCACCGAGACUCGAACUCGGAUUCACGCUGGAUUCAGAGUCCAGAGUGCUCGCCAUCACACCAUGGAACCACCGGGGACCCUUCAGCUGGGAUCACUGAAUUCAGAGGCCAGAGUGCUCACCAUAACGCAGACCCUCCCGCAGCCCGUCCCUGCCAGCAGUUGAGCCAGGCGCGCGCAGCCCCGCCGGCCCAGGACCCGCUUCCCGCCGGGCGCGCUCCUCAGCCGCGCGCAGCCCGCGUCCUCCGCGACGCCAGGGGGCGCCGGCCUUGCCUGCCCUCGGCCUCCCUGCAGGUUAGUACGUCCAGGAGGACAUGAAAUCCACUGGGGUCAGCGACAGGGCAGGGCUUUCAGGCCUCCCCCAAGUCCACCUGCUCUGCCAGCAUUUGUGGAGUGUUCUACGCUGAGGAGUUCUACUUCAGCGCAGGAAACUCUACAAAUGCUGGCAGAACAGAGGGUUUGGGGUGGGCCCUGCCCUGUCGCUGACCUCAACGGAUUUUAUCGUCCUCUGGUACAAACCUGCCCGGAGGCCGCGGGCAGGCGAGUCCGGAGCCUCCUGGCGUCGAGGCGGAAGCGGGCUGGGGGCUGCGGGGUGAGGAGCGCGCCCGGCGGGAGGCGGGGCCUGGGCCGGCGGGGCUGCGCGCGGCCUGGCCCAGCGGCUGCAAGGUAAAGGCCGGUGGGCGGUUCCAUGGUGUA
Molecule: transfer RNA, 1203 nt
Filed under: Sus scrofa (pig)
Lineage: Eukaryota; Metazoa; Chordata; Mammalia; Artiodactyla; Suidae
Description: lncRNA (ENSSSCG00065006214.1)
Source: RNAcentral